GUUUCGGUGGUCAUUGCGUUAGGGAAACGCCCGGUUACAUUCCGAACCCGGAAGCUAAGCCUUCAGCGCCGAUGGUACUGCAUG
Molecule: ribosomal RNA, 84 nt
Filed under: Streptomyces californicus
Lineage: Bacteria; Bacillati; Actinomycetota; Actinomycetes; Kitasatosporales; Streptomycetaceae
Source: RNAcentral